This 253-nucleotide ribosomal RNA is filed under the name uncultured bacterium. RNAcentral's name for it is "partial 16S ribosomal RNA". It matches the Rfam family "Bacterial small subunit ribosomal RNA", at positions 524 to 776 of the family's 1533-position model. The record is from RNAcentral.
UACGUAGGGGGCAAGCGUUGUCCGGAAUCAUUGGGCGUAAAGAGCGUGUAGGCGGCUCGAUAAGUCUGCUGUGAAAGUCCAGGGCUCAACCCUGGAAGGCCGGUGGAAACUGUCGGGCUAGAGUCCGGAAGAGGCGAGUGGAAUUCCCGGUGUAGCGGUGAAAUGCGUAGAUAUCAGGAGGAACACCGGUGGCGAAGGCGCCUAUCUGGCCCGAUACUGACGCUGAGGCGCGAAAGCUAGGGGAGCAAACGGG